AAACACACCCCUAAAUCCGACCUGUGUAACCCCACUGGUUCUACCACCGGAAAUAAUCUCCACCGGCGGCGGAGCUCCAAACGGCCCCAAAAUUUCACCAUGAACUCCCCUUAGGCUACUCAUCCCAAAUACCUAACCCUUUUCCCUUGAAUCUCAGUCAGUCUUGUCGAAUCUUAAAUCAAAGUUUCGAACCAAAACCAUAAUCCUCCCAAAUCCGGUCAAAAUCGUACCAUACAAUCUCCCUGACCUCCUCUACCCGAAUCCCAACCCAAAACCCUUCAAAUCCUCCUUUAAGUCUUCAUGUCUUGGAUCUAUGGUUUUAAUUACAUUUUGUUCUCAUACGGAUCCAGAUAAUGUUACAUGUUUGUUUGUCAAAAUGAACACCUAAUAUUAUCUAGAAGCUGUAUCAGAAGCCAAUCGAGUGAAUACCAAGUCCUAGUUUGAAGGUUUUAGUCGAGUUUAAUUGGUGAGUUCUUCGUUCUGUUAAUUUCCUUUUCCUCCUUCAUGUGUAAAUUUGAGUUAGGAUUUCAAAUUGAUUUCAGAAUCGUUCAUUGGGGAUUAGUUCGUGUUCAUCUGGGGCUGUUUGGGUCAAUAUAGAUUUUAGGUUUGUUCGGUUGUUAGUCGGAUUAGUGUAGCUUAACAUAGUAAUUAAUAUUCCUACCUUUUCUUAGUGUAGUUAAUAGUUGUUCGUCGAUCCAAUCGUUUGAUUAUUAGCUUAUUUUCUUUUAAUCUGUUUGAAUCUUGUGUGAACUAUUUGAUAUAGUUUAAGAUGUUUUUCUUUUGGUGAUUGUUGAAUGGUUGUAAUUAAUGUGGCUUGGUUCAGUUAGGAUAAUCAGUGGUUGAUGUUAAUAGUAUCUUAGUGUAAUGCUCAGUUCGAUUAGUUAUUAAUUUGAUGAAUUUGGUUAUAGAGGAUAGAUUUAAUUAGGGCAAAAGAGGACUGAAUUCAUUUGGACUUGGAUGGUGAUUCAGGGGGUUAAGGGAUCUUUUGGGGCUUUAUAAUAGGGUGGAAUGCUGUAGAUUAGAAUAGAACUCAUUAGAAUCUUCUAGAAUCCAAAGCUGAAAAUAAAUAGGGACUAGAAAGGAAAACUGAAAAUCUGACUUGCACCUCCGUUUGCCUAUAAAAAGGCUUCUCUAUUGCCUUCACACACAAGUUUUGAGCUCCAAAGUUCCCCCCAAAAGUGUGUUCUUCAAGUUUCAGAUCUAGAAUUUGAAAUUAAAACUCAAAGCUCCAAAAACAAUAGAAAAUUUUCAAAAAUAAAUUAGAAACUAUUCUGUUGGAAAUGAUAGUCCAGUCUCGAGUGUAGCCAUUAGUUUGUUUCUCUUCAUUCAUGAAUUGAUAGUUGAAAAUUGAUGGGAUUGGGUUUUUGUUUUGAAUUAGAUUGGGUUUCAAUCGAGUCUAGUUGGGUUAUUUUGAUUGCUGAAGGUUUGAUUUGCGGAUGAGUUGCCUGAUUGUCACUCAAUUUCUAAAUCUCCUUGUGAUUCCAGGCUGAUUGAGCUUUGUUCAUUUUUUGCUGACCUCCUUUUUUUCUUCCUGGCAUUUUCAUCUCCAGGUACACAAUUGUUCCCUGACGAUUAUGAACUGAAUUGUGCAAAGACAAGUUUAUGUGAAGAAUGAAUUCGCUUGAAGAGUUUAACAUUGAUUUUGUCCAUUUCUGUACUUGUAUAUUCAACGUUUGUCUUAUAGAUGUUGUUUAAAUUUUGGCUUGGGUUUUGUACUAAAUGAACUGUCAAAUUAGAUUAGUAGUUCGUGUUAAUUUGAGCUUUGAUAUGGUCAUUAAUGUUUAGUAUUGAUUCUCCUGUGGGUUUGAAGUUUGACUUAAGGUGAAUUGAAGUCAGAAUUAAUUAGCUGUAUGCAUGCCAUGGGACAAUAGUUAACCAUUUUAAUUAGUUAAGCUUCUCCCUAAUUGUCUGUGUUAAUUCAUAGCUCAAACGAUUCCAUUUGACUACUUGCUCAAAAUCUAGCUGUUGUAUAAACGUGAAGUAAGCUAUUCAAGUCAUGGUUAAAAUUAGAUAGUAAUUGAAUCCACGACCUUGAAUUUAGGAGUGUCUCGUUGCCAGUUGGUGAAAACGGGAGUCAAACUUAGAAUGAUAAUGUAGUGCUAUAUGUGGU
Molecule: long non-coding RNA, 2110 nt
Filed under: Nicotiana benthamiana
Lineage: Eukaryota; Viridiplantae; Streptophyta; Magnoliopsida; Solanales; Solanaceae
Description: long non-coding RNA (NBEN_LNC042028)
Source: RNAcentral